RNAcentral lists this long non-coding RNA (385 nucleotides) under Ananas comosus (pineapple). RNAcentral's name for it is "long non-coding RNA (ACOM_LNC042905)". Lineage: Eukaryota; Viridiplantae; Streptophyta; Magnoliopsida; Poales; Bromeliaceae. The record is from RNAcentral.
ACCCUCCACCGGCGUCGCCCCGUGCUCCGGCGAGCAUCCCCGCCGACCGCCGCCGUCGCGCGCGCCGCCGCUGCUGCUCCUGCAGUCUGCAACAACCCAGGCCGAGCUCUGGCCGAGGUGGGUUGCAUCUGCUGCCCGCGCGCCGCCACCGCCUGGGACCUCUCCCGCCGACGUCCUCGGAGCCCGGGCACCCCUUCCCGCCGGUCGCCGCCUCCCCGGUGCGCCGCCGUCGCCGCCUCGGCCAGCCGCAGCCGCCCCAGCCCCGCUCUGGCCGAGGCGAGCGUGCGACGCUCCCCCUGCGCCGCCGCCGCUUGGGUCCGCACCCGAGGCACUCUUUCGGCCCCGUGAAGCCCGCCUCCGCCGUCCCGAAGCUCCCCGGCCGCCG